RNAcentral lists this long non-coding RNA (410 nucleotides) under Eutrema salsugineum. Its description in RNAcentral is "long non-coding RNA (ESAL_LNC000895)". Lineage: Eukaryota; Viridiplantae; Streptophyta; Magnoliopsida; Brassicales; Brassicaceae. The record is from RNAcentral.
UUUGGGAUACCUGAACGAUGCUAUUGCGGCCUUCGAUGUAGAUUGGAAGAGUCUACAGCUCCAGAGACGUUUGGCAGGAAGUUCUAUAGUUGCCCUGAAAUAUUAGGCGAAUGUGUAUAGUUUUAAUGAGGUUUUUCUCAAUAUGUGUAUAGUUUUAAUGUUAUUCAUCGAGUAUAACUGAAGUUUUCGUUUGUCAUAUGUGUAGGAUAAACCGGGUCACAUCUCCAAAUGGUGGGAUCUAGCCAUUGAAGAGCAGCUGACCAUUCUUCAAAUACGAAUUGACAAGCAGAGCGAAAGCAUGUUCCGUGACAACCGAACAGCCCUUCUGCAAUAAUAUGAGAAUCGGCUGUAUGCAUUGGAGGAUCGCCUUGCUGCAACCGAGAAGACCAUUAGCGAGAUCGAGGAGUUCA